AGCUUUCUGGUACAUAUGAAAAUCUGGCAACACUGAUUAUGAUUCCCUGAACAUAGCAUAUUUGUGCACAAUUUUUGUAACAUCCAAACAUCCAAUUGUGUUAUCGAAGUGUUGGAGCGAAUACAUCGUUCAGUUGACAAAUUUCAGUAUAUGUAGUCACAUGUGGAAGAGACUUACGGGGAGAUUGUGCAUAACUCGUGGCAUGUCAUCGUUUGCGCCGUUUUAAGUCAACAGACUCCAUAUUCACAAAACCUUAUAAUUUCAUAGUCGAAUAUUUGGUAUCGGAAGUCAUCAGCCCUCACCAAACAAGUAACCACCAUUGAUUUGGUAUUGCUGGUGUUGAAUAGGAUGACCACGAAACGACGCGUGAAAUUAAUUGGAAUAAGCAUUACCUCCUCAAAGGUUUUCAUUGCCCUGGCGGAUGUGCCGAUUUUUUAACGCUCGUUCUAAUAGUCUUCAACAAUUUUCUACAAGUUGCCGCUGUACUAAUAAACCGCCCGCCAGCGAUCUCACCGCAGUCAUGAACUCAANAAUUUUACUAAAUUCUCAUAUGCACGUGAACAUAUUGGUGUGAGUUUUACCGAGAGUAUCUGUGAGCGCAAUAACGUAUCACUUACGUAAGGUGAAAGAGGCGAUACAAUGUGCAAUAUGCCUGAAAGAGUUAACACGAUUUUACGAGCGAAAACAAGAAAAUGUGAAAUAUAAAUACCACUAAAAAUGUAUCUUUUAAAUAAAAAAAAUGCGGUCGUUGCAAAUUUAGUGCUUCUAUCAACUGAAAAAGAGUACUGGAGAAGCAACACAGUUGUAAAGACAGCUGAAAUCAUAUGAAUCGUUUAUUAGCAACUUUUGAAAGGUAGAACAAUUUAUUUUAUCCGCACUCAAGCUCACAGUCGUCUAAUACAAAUGUAAAUACAUUUACAUCUUGGGAGUAAAAAAAAAAACUACAUAUUUCAAAAGAACGCGAAAUACUUAAAAUUGCUGUGCACAUUGUCGGAAAAUAUUAUAUAUACAAAAAUUGGUAGUUUUAAAAUGGUUCAAAAGUUGUAAUUUGUGAGACUCUUUAUCGCAAGAAUCUUCUAGGCAGAUUAAUUGAAACUAAUCAUUCGAAGACUUACUUGAUUACUACAGUUGUGUUGCCUGGAAUUACGCCGUACUAUAAUACACUUAUUCGGUUAAAACCGUUGAGUAAACCCUAUUAGGACGAAACUAUGGCGAUCACACCAUAAAUAAAUCGCAAAAAAUAUA
Molecule: long non-coding RNA, 1245 nt
Filed under: Bactrocera latifrons
Lineage: Eukaryota; Metazoa; Arthropoda; Insecta; Diptera; Tephritidae
Description: uncharacterized LOC108974698, transcript variant X5
Source: RNAcentral